CCGAAGUCUUACCCAAUCAGUAAUUCACUCCCCAUGGCUUACUCACUCUUCACAUCUUUCUGAACAAAAACGUCUCCCUCUCUCGCCCAUGGCCGUUUCUUUCUUCUCCCCAAUACCUCCUAAGCCUCCAUUCUCUCUUUAAAUCUCUCAUUCUCUCGCUCGUAUGUCUCUGAUUUCCACUUCAGUGAUCGUUCUUCUUCAUUCUCAUGGCGAUUGUUACUGGAGAUCGAUACCUUGAGAACCUUGUUAAUUUCGUCCAACACCAAGCUGGCCCUUUGCUUGAUGGCUCUUUAGUUCUUAAGCUUAAUCCUGUUGGUCUUCACUACGUACAAUCUAGACUUGAGGCUCUUCGUGAGGUUGAGAAUCUUCUUUCUGGUGCCCCUGUUGAUUAUCUUCGUGCUUACAUUUCUGACCUUGGGGACCAUCGAGCACUUGAACAGCUCCGUCGUAUUCUUAGGUUGCUUACGUCUCUUAAGGUUGUUUCUGUUUUGCCUCCCCCUGUUCGUGACCCUACUCCGAUUUCUUUACUGUCGUUUGGGAGAUUGAAGAUUUUGGAACUUAGAGGGUGUGAUUUGUCUACCUCAGCGGCUAGAGGUUUGCUUGAGUUGAGACAUACUUUGGAGAAGAUCAUUUGUCAUAAUUCGACUGAUGCUUUACGACAUGUUUUUGCGAGUAGGAUUGCUGAGAUAAAGGGCUCUCCACAAUGGAACCGGUUGUCAUUCGUAUCAUGCGCAUGUAAUCGCUUGGUUCUGAUGGAUGAGUCUUUACAACUUCUUCCUGCUGUUGAAACUCUUGAUUUGAGUAGAAAUAAGUUUGCAAAGGUAGAUAAUCUACGGAAGUGCACCAAAUUGAAGCACCUGGACCUUGGGUUCAAUCAUUUGAGAACAACUGCACCCUUUAGGGAGGAGUUAGGGUUGGACACUUGGACCCAUACGCCAGUGUUGUUGGACUAUGCAGGUCUCCUGUCAUAUUGGAAAACUUGUUUUGAGGAACAAUGCUCUAACCACAUUACGUGGGCUUGAAAAUUUGAAGUCACUUGAAGGGCUUGAUAUCUCCUACAAUAUUAUUUCCAAUUUUUCAGAGCUGGAGUUCCUUGCAAGACUCACAUCUCUACAGAAUUUGUGGUUGGAAGGAAAUCCAUUGUGUUGUGCAAGAUGGUAUCGAGCACAAGUAUUCAGCUAUUUUGCUCAUUCAGAUACAUUGAAGUUGGAUGACAAAGAAAUCAGCACAAGAGAGUUUUGGAAGAGGCAAAUUAUAAUUGCCAGCAGGCAGAAGCGACCUUCCAGCUAUGGAUUUUAUUCUCCUGCAAAAUAUAAUGUUGAAGGACAGGCUAGUAUCAUCAGAAAAAGGAAAAAAGUGCCUCGACUUGCUGCAAUUGAAAGUGAAGAAGAGAGCGCAUACUUUUCUUCUGACCAGGAGUCACCAUCAUGUGAUAAUGAUAUUCAAAGCAAAGAGGAGAAUAUCAUAUCUGAUAAUGAAGCUGAAAUGGUUGAUUUGAUUAACAGAGUUGAACUCAUGAAGAGAGAGGAUUCUAUUCUUUGGUUGCGGGAAUUUCAAGAAUGGAUGGAUCAUGAAUCUGAGAAUUCUGUGGAUGGAGGUACACAUAGCAGAGCCACAUUGCAUCAUGUGAAGGAAAAUCAUCAGAAAAACAAGACAAAUGAGAAGCAUCAUGGUGAAAGUUCAAGAAAUGUCUGGAAUUCUCUUAAUGCCUCAGGGGAUGAAGCUAGUACAGAUGGCUUGGAAUCUGAUGCUUCCUUUGUGGGCAUGUCUUUACCUGGCAUGGUGGGACCAAGACAGAAGUAUAAAAUAUCUCAUUCACAUGAAGGGUUAACCAUACAAGGAGACCAUUGUGUUGUUGAAAAUGGCAGCUUAUCAACAUUGACUGCCGUAGAUGAUACGUCGCAGUCUCAUUCCUUCUCUGCUUACUCUGUGUCCCCUCCCCAUUAUCAGGUGGACAUUUUGCAUCGUCGCCACAAUUUGCUGGAAGAAAUUUUGCAGCAAUCUGCAGAGUCCUGUUCAGUGGUUUCUUCUGAUAGUGAUACCAGCUCUAGUGAAGAUGAUAUAUAUGAAUAUGGGCAUUCAGUGCAUGAAGAUCAGUUACAGAAUGAAGAAUACUUGAAUUUGAGUAUUGGAGUGUGCUCGUCUUCAAAUCUUUUUAAUAAAAGUAAUUAUGUUAAGAAAUAUGGAAUUCAUCAUUUAAGGGAUAAUGAAAGGCGUUUGUUUGAUUCUCAUGAUUUACAAGCAUCUAUUAAAACAAAAACCUUAAAUUCAAGCAGAAUUGAUUUUCCUGCUGCUUCUACUGUUGGUGAAAUUGCUCAAUUUGCUGAUGAAGAGGCAGAUUGGCUGGACAAGACAAAAAGUAAAAGGCAACCAAGAAGAACACUUAUUUUACUUUCACUAGCAGAGAAUGUGGUUGACAAGACAGGGACAUCAGAAACACCAAGGGUUGAGAUGGAUACUAGUGUACAUGAUGAAGAAGAUGAGCAAGGGAAACAAAUUGUUGAUGCUGGCAAUUCUCAAGAUAUUGUUGAUAAGAAAAAGUUGCAGAAAAAUGCGAUUAAAACUCCAGCAGUUGCAAAUAUUGGUAGAUUUUCCAAUGAUUUUAUUGAGAAGUAUUUUAAUGCAAAUGUUGCAGAUUCCACAAUUAAUGAGACCUGUAGGCAUUAUCUACAUUGCGAUUGUGUAAUUGAGCCGGAAUCCUUGUACAGAGAAAGAGAAGUAGCUUUAUUGCUGAGCAGCGUAAACAAGUUGUAUGUAUUAAUCAUUGGUGUAGCAUUUGAUGGGUCAGGAAAUAUUUUGAGUUUACUGGGUUGGCACAGGGUUGAAGAUGUUAAAGAAGUUUUGGUUGGUGUAGGACUUCAGGUCAUGAGGUUAGUGAUUUCUGGUAUUGUCUGCAAUUAUUUUACUGGACAUUUUUGUAAAACUGUUUGGCAAUCUUUUGUUGGAUAGGGUGUACAUUGAGACGGGAGCAACCUACCUGUUUCUAACAAGGAGCAUUGAGAAAUCAAAGCAAUUACUUUGCACGUUACAAAUUUUUGGUCCAUUUGCAAUGAAUGAUAAAUGCAUAUUAAGAAGGUAAUCUAUCUUAUGCUCUUUAAAUAUAAACUUUAAUUAUAAUGUGGUUGAUUUUUCUUUGAAUUAAAUCCAUUUUUUAUAUUUAAAAGCAUCUGUAUAUAAUAGACUGGGGUUUUGGGAAUUUAUAUGGCAGUUUGGAGCAGGUUCAGGUUGAGUUGUUUGAGAAACAAAUAUGCGGAGGUUCAAAAAUAAGCAUAUUCCAAUAUGCUAUGGUGCUUUUUAGGCACAAAGAUGAAGAGGAAUCAUGGCUUUCAAGAUCACUGUUUGUAAGUGGAGCACAUGUUUUUGUGUGUGUUGAAGAACUUAAGCAGUUCACCUUUCCUUCAGUAGAUGCAUCUUCCUCCCCAUAUUUCUCCCUAGAUUGGUGUUGCUGCAUCAGUGAUGUAUCUGAGCUGGUCAUUGAGAACAAGGAGAGUCCAUGUGUAACCUUAAUUCUUGAGCAUGCUACAACAAAAUUCUGUUUCUCAUCAAAGGCUGACGAGUAUGCAACCAUUGAUAAGGAAAAUACAGCCAGCUCUUUGAUAGGGAAGCUCAAAUGGUUCUCUGAAGAGAGUCUAUUCAAUUUUGUGGCAUUGUUGAAGGCAAUUCAUUCAGGGAUAAAGACGUCUCCUCUGCUGAUAACACGCUUGUCGUGAGAAUCAUCGUAUGUAUAUUAUUAGUAGUUUCAUAUUCAUUUCAUUCUUUUGGUGUCGGCUUUCAUACCCCCUUACCUUUCUCGAUUUAAUUGAUUUAGUUUCAUUUAUCUUUAGUGUGGCAAUUCAAUAGCUUUCUUUGCUUGUGAUUUUUUUUUCUCUAUUCUUUCAGUAAUCAAGUUUCUAUUGUGUACAAAUUGUACAGUUCAGAACAUGAAAGAAAAUUAAGAUUGGUUGGUGUUAUUUUGUUUCUGUUCAUCUUGCGUCGCUA
Molecule: unclassified non-coding RNA, 3978 nt
Filed under: Hevea brasiliensis (rubber tree)
Lineage: Eukaryota; Viridiplantae; Streptophyta; Magnoliopsida; Malpighiales; Euphorbiaceae
Source: RNAcentral